CACAAGAUGCAGCUGCAGGAUGACACUGGGAGAUGUGUCCACAAAGAAGAACAACAAUAAGAAGAGGAAGAAGUGGGGAGGAAGAAAAGAUGAAAGAAGAUGAGAAGAAGGGACAGGAGGGGAAGAGGAGAAGGUAUGGAGAAAGAAGAGGGGAAGAUAGGGAA
Molecule: long non-coding RNA, 164 nt
Filed under: Fukomys damarensis (Damara mole-rat)
Lineage: Eukaryota; Metazoa; Chordata; Mammalia; Rodentia; Bathyergidae
Description: lncRNA (ENSFDAG00000030558.1)
Source: RNAcentral